UACGUAGGGUGCGAGCGUUAAUCGGAAUUACUGGGCGUAAAGCGUGCGCAGGCGGUUCGCUGUGUCCGAUGUGAAAGCCCCGGGCUUAACCUGGGAAUGGCAUUGGAAACUGGCGGGCUUGAGUGCGGCAGAGGGGGGUGGAAUUCCACGUGUAGCAGUGAAAUGCGUAGAGAUGUGGAGGAACACCGAUGGCGAAGGCAGCCCCCUGGGCCAACACUGACGCUCAGGCACGAAAGCGUGGGGAGCAAACAGG
Molecule: ribosomal RNA, 253 nt
Filed under: uncultured bacterium
Lineage: Bacteria
Description: partial 16S ribosomal RNA
Rfam family: Bacterial small subunit ribosomal RNA
Source: RNAcentral